GAUGAACGCUGGCGGCGUGCCUAAUACAUGCAAGUCGAGCGAACGGACGAGAAGCUUGCUUCUCUGAUGUUAGCGGCGGACGGGUGAGUAACACGUGGAUAACCUACCUAUAAGACUGGGAUAACUUCGGGAAACCGUAGCUAAUACCGGAUAAUAUUUUGAACCGCAUGGUUCAAAAGUGAAAGACGGUCUUGCUGUCACUUAUAGAUGGAUCCGCGCUGCAUUAGAUAGUUGGUAAGGUAACGGCUUACCAAGGCAACGAUGCAUAGCCGACCUGAGAGGGUGAUCGGCCACACUGGAACUGAGACACGGUCCAGACUCCUACGGGAGGCAGCAGUAGGGAAUCUUCCGCAAUGGGCGAGAGCCUGACGGAGCAACGCCGCGUGAGUGAUGAAGGUCUUCGGAUCGUAAAAAUCUGUUAUUAGGGAAGAACAUAUGUGUAAGUAACUGUGCACAUCUUGACGGUACCUAAUCAGAAAGCCACGGCUAACUACGUG
This 497-nucleotide ribosomal RNA is filed under the name uncultured bacterium. RNAcentral's name for it is "partial 16S ribosomal RNA". It matches the Rfam family "Bacterial small subunit ribosomal RNA", at positions 28 to 507 of the family's 1533-position model. The record is from RNAcentral.